This 459-nucleotide ribosomal RNA is filed under the name uncultured bacterium. RNAcentral describes it as "partial 16S ribosomal RNA". It matches the Rfam family "Bacterial small subunit ribosomal RNA", at positions 339 to 795 of the family's 1533-position model. The record is from RNAcentral.
CUACGGGACGCUCCAGUGAGGAAUAUUGCGCAAUGGACGAAAGUCUGACGCAGCCAUGCCGCGUGCAGGAUGACGGCGCUAUGCGUUGUAAACUGCUUUUAUAGGCCAAGAAACCUUCGGACGUGUCCGAAGCUGACGGUAGCAUAUGAAUAAGCACCGGCUAACUCCGUGCCAGCGGCCGCGGUAAUACGGAGGGUGCAAGCGUUAUCCGGAUUUAUUGGGUUUAAAGGGUCCGUAGGCGGAUCAUUAAGUCAGUGGUGAAAGCCGGCAGCUCAACUGUCGAACUGCCAUUGAUACUGGUGAUCUUGAAUACGGUUGAGGUUGGCGGAAUAGGUCAUGUAGCGGUGAAAUGCUUAGAUAUGACCUAGAACACCGAUUGCGAAGGCAGCCAACUAAGCCGUUAUUGACGCUGAGGGACGAAAGCGUGGGGAGCGAACAGGAUUAGAUACCCGCGUAGUC